AUGAACGCUGGCGGCAGGCCUAACACAUGCAAGUCGAGCGAGCAUUUCGGUGCUAGCGGCGGACGGGUGAGUAACGCGUGGGAACGUGCCCUUUUCCGCGGAAUAGUCCUGGGAAACUGGGGGUAAUACCGCAUACGCCCUUUUGGGGAAAGAUUUAUCGGAGAAGGAUCGGCCCGCGUUGGAUUAGGUAGUUGGUGGGGUAAUGGCCCACCAAGCCGACGAUCCAUAGCUGGUUUGAGAGGAUGAUCAGCCACACUGGGACUGAGACACGGCCCAGACUCCUACGGGAGGCAGCAGUGGGGAAUCUUAGACAAUGGGGGCAACCCUGAUCUAGCCAUGCCGCGUGAGUGAUGAAGGCCUUAGGGUUGUAAAGCUCUUUCAGCUGGGAAGAUAAUGACGGUACCAGCAGAAGAAGCCCCGGCUAACUCCGUG
This 432-nucleotide ribosomal RNA is filed under the name uncultured bacterium. RNAcentral describes it as "partial 16S ribosomal RNA". It matches the Rfam family "Bacterial small subunit ribosomal RNA", at positions 29 to 507 of the family's 1533-position model. The record is from RNAcentral.